CGCUAGCUACAGGCUUAACACAUGCAAGUCGAGGGGCAGCAUGGUCUUAGCUUGCUAAGGCCGAUGGCGACCGGCGCACGGGUGAGUAACACGUAUCCAACCUGCCGUCUACUCUUGGACAGCCUUCUGAAAGGAAGAUUAAUACAAGAUGGCAUCAUGAGUCCGCAUGUUCACAUGAUUAAAGGUAUUCCGGUAGACGAUGGGGAUGCGUUCCAUUAGAUAGUAGGCGGGGUAACGGCCCACCUAGUCUUCGAUGGAUAGGGGUUCUGAGAGGAAGGUCCCCCACAUUGGAACUGAGACACGGUCCAAACUCCUACGGGAGGCAGCAGUGAGGAAUAUUGGUCAAUGGGCGAGAGCCUGAACCAGCCAAGUAGCGUGAAGGAUGACUGCCCUAUGGGUUGUAAACUUCUUUUAUAAAGGAAUAAAGUCGGGUAUGGAUACCCGUUUGCAUGUACUUUAUGAAUAGGGAUCGGCUAACUCCGUGCCAGCAGCCGCGGUAAUACGGAGGAUCCGAGCGUUAUCCGGAUUUAUUGGGUUUAAAGGGAGCGUAGAUGGAUGUUUAAGUCAGUUGUGAAAGUUUGCGGCUCAACCGUAAAAUUGCAGUUGAUACUGGAUAUCUUGAGUGCAGUUGAGGCAGGCGGAAUUCGUGGUGUAGCGGUGAAAUGCUUAGAUAUCACGAAGAACCCCGAUUGCGAAGGCAGCCUGCUAAGCUGCAACUGACAUUGAGGCUCGAAAGUGUGGGUAUCAAACAGGAUUAGAUACCCUGGUAGUCCACACGGUAAACGAUGAAUACUCGCUGUUUGCGAUAUACGGCAAGCGGCCAAGCGAAAGCGUUAAGUAUUCCACCUGGGGAGUACGCCGGCAACGGUGAAACUCAAAGGAAUUGACGGGGGCCCGCACAAGCGGAGGAACAUGUGGUUUAAUUCGAUGAUACGCGAGGAACCUUACCCGGGCUUAAAUUGCAGAUGAAUUACGGUGAAAGCCGUAAGCCGCAAGGCAUCUGUGAAGGUGCUGCAUGGUUGUCGUCAGCUCGUGCCGUGAGGUGUCGGCUUAAGUGCCAUAACGAGCGCGACCCUUGUUGUCAGUUACUAACAGGUUCUGCUGAGGACUCUGACAAGACUGCCAUCGUAAGAUGUGAGGAAGGUGGGGAUGACGUCAAAUCAGCACGGCCCUUACGUCCGGGGCUACACACGUGUUACAAUGGGGGGUACAGAGGGCCGCUACCACGCGAGUGGAUGCCAAUCCCCAAAACCUCUCUCAGUUCGGACUGGAGUCUGCAACCCGACUCCACGAAGCUGGAUUCGCUAGUAAUCGCGAAUCAGCCACGGCGCGGUGAAUACGUUCCCGGGCCUUGUACACACCGCCCGUCAAGCCAUGGGAGCCGGGGGUACCAGAGGUGCGUAACCGCGAGGAGCGCCCUAGGGUAAAACUCC
This 1433-nucleotide ribosomal RNA is filed under the name uncultured organism. RNAcentral's name for it is "SSU rRNA". It matches the Rfam family "Bacterial small subunit ribosomal RNA". The record is from RNAcentral.